RNAcentral lists this ribosomal RNA (468 nucleotides) under uncultured bacterium. RNAcentral describes it as "partial 16S ribosomal RNA". It matches the Rfam family "Bacterial small subunit ribosomal RNA", at positions 28 to 507 of the family's 1533-position model. The record is from RNAcentral.
GACGAACGCUGGCGGCGUGCUUAACACAUGCAAGUCGAACGGAAAGGCCCUGCUUUUGUGGGGUGCUCGAGUGGCGAACGGGUGAGUAACACGUGAGUAACCUGCCCUUGACUUUGGGAUAACUUCAGGAAACUGGGGCUAAUACCGGAUAGGAGCUCCUGCUGCAUGGUGGGGGUUGGAAAGUUUCGGCGGUUGGGGAUGGACUCGCGGCUUAUCAGCUUGUUGGUGGGGUAGUGGCUUACCAAGGCUUUGACGGGUAGCCGGCCUGAGAGGGUGACCGGCCACAUGGGGACUGAGAUGCGGCCCAGACUCCUACGGGAGGCAGCAGUGGGGAAUAUUGCACAAUGGGCGGAAGCCUGAUGCAGCAACGCCGCGUGCGGGAUGACGGCCUUCGGGUUGUAAACCGCUUUCGCCUGUGACGAAGCGUGAGUGACGGUAAUGGGUAAAGAAGCACCGGCUAACUACGUG